This 497-nucleotide ribosomal RNA is filed under the name uncultured bacterium. RNAcentral describes it as "partial 16S ribosomal RNA". It matches the Rfam family "Bacterial small subunit ribosomal RNA", at positions 28 to 507 of the family's 1533-position model. The record is from RNAcentral.
GAUGAACGCUGGCGGCGUGCCUAAUACAUGCAAGUCGAGCGAACAGACGAGGAGCUUGCUCCUCUGACGUUAGCGGCGGACGGGUGAGUAACACGUGGAUAACCUACCUAUAAGACUGGGAUAACUUCGGGAAACCGGAGCUAAUACCGGAUAAUAUAUUGAACCGCAUGGUUCAAUAGUGAAAGACGGUUUUGCUGUCACUUAUAGAUGGAUCCGCGCCGCAUUAGCUAGUUGGUAAGGUAACGGCUUACCAAGGCAACGAUGCGUAGCCGACCUGAGAGGGUGAUCGGCCACACUGGAACUGAGACACGGUCCAGACUCCUACGGGAGGCAGCAGUAGGGAAUCUUCCACAAUGGGCGCAAGCCUGACGGAGCAACGCCGCGUGAGUGAUGAAGGUCUUCGGAUCGUAAAACUCUGUUAUUAGGGAAGAACAACUGUGUAAGUAACUAUGCACGUCUUGACGGUACCUAAUCAGAAAGCCCCGGCUAACUACGUG